This 214-nucleotide unclassified non-coding RNA is filed under the name Hevea brasiliensis (rubber tree). The record is from RNAcentral. Lineage: Eukaryota; Viridiplantae; Streptophyta; Magnoliopsida; Malpighiales; Euphorbiaceae.
GGAUUGCAAGAUCGUAAAGAGAGGUAAAGCAUUUAAUUGUUCUAUGUUUAUUUACUUUCUCUUUCAGGCUUGCUUCAAUUCUGAUUUGCUUUAAUUGAAGUCAAUAGAAGGUCAAUGUUUAACGUAUAUAGUCCUAAAACUGCACGGUAUGGGUUUUAUUUAAUUAUAUUCUAGGUAGAUUUGGAAAUUAUGGUCCAUUACUCCUAUAUAUCUG